RNAcentral lists this ribosomal RNA (888 nucleotides) under uncultured Corynebacterium sp. RNAcentral describes it as "partial 16S ribosomal RNA". The stretch from base 14 to 386 matches the Rfam family "Bacterial small subunit ribosomal RNA", at positions 41 to 398 of the family's 1533-position model. Lineage: Bacteria; Bacillati; Actinomycetota; Actinomycetes; Mycobacteriales; Corynebacteriaceae. The record is from RNAcentral.
GACGAACGCUGGCGGCGUGCUUAACACAUGCAAGUCGAACGUGAUUUUUGUGGAAAUUCUUUCGGGAAUGGAAGUGAAAUGAAAGUGGCGAACGGGUGAGUAACACGUGAGCAACCUACCUUACACAGGGGGAUAGCCGUUGGAAACGACGAUUAAUACCGCAUGAGACCACAGAAUCGCAUGAUAUAGGGGUCAAAGAUUUAUCGGUGUAAUAUGGGCUCGCGUCUGAUUAGCUAGUUGGAAGGGUAACGGCCUACCAAGGCUGCUAUCAGUAGCCUGUCUGAGAGGACGAACGGCCACAUUGGAAUUGACACACCUGCCAAACUCCUACGGGAGGCAGCAAUGGUGAAUAUUUCUUAUGGGGGGAAGCAUGAUGCUGCCCCCCCCUCGUCCCCUAUUACCAUUUCUACCUCCCCGCUCUGUUUGGAGAGAGGACAUGUCCGAAUUGUACGUGAAGCUCUAGAGAAAAAUACUGGACGACGCCGGGGGGGACGUUUGCGCCUCCCACUGUCUCACAAAAAGGGGACAAAAGGGAGCCCUCAUAGAAGUUUAACACUCUUCCCCACGCUGUGGGGGAUCGCGGCGUCUACUGGGAAUUUUCCACCUCCUCCCCCCCAGUGAACGGGGAGAUGGCCGGUUCCUUCUAUAGAGCGAUAAUCUUUUUUUUUUGGGAAAAAACAUAAAAAAUUCUUUAUACGCCUCUCCUACCCAGGGGAGGGCCCCACGCGGGACUCUCAAGAUACUAGAGACAAUAGUUAUGAUGUGGGUGGGGGGAGGCCCGGCCCACAGGGGAGGGGGGGGGAGGGGCUGCUUACCCCCCCCCGCCUAGAGACUUUCCCCCCCGCCUGUUUUUAUAUUUUAUUUAUCUUCUCUCUCCUUCUCCUCCGU